RNAcentral lists this ribosomal RNA (389 nucleotides) under uncultured microorganism. RNAcentral describes it as "bacterial SSU rRNA". It matches the Rfam family "Archaeal small subunit ribosomal RNA", at positions 330 to 721 of the family's 1478-position model. The record is from RNAcentral.
GCGCAGCAGGCGAGAAAACUUCACACUGUGCGAAAGCACGAUGAGGGAAUCCCAAGUGCUUGCACGUAAGUGUAAGCUGUUUCUCUGUCUAAAACGCAGAGAGAGUAAGGGCUGGGUAAGACGGGUGCCAGCCGCCGCGGUAAUACCUGCAGCUCAAGUGGUGACCGUUAUUAUUGGGCCUAAAACGUCCGUAGCCGGUUUAAUAAAUGCCUGGGUAAAUUGUGUAGCUUAACUAUACGAAUUCCGGGUAGACUGUUAAACUUGAGACCGGGAGAAGUUAGAGGUACUCCUGGGGUAGAGGUGAAAUUCUGUAAUCCUAGGGGGACCACCAGUGGCGAAGGCGUCUAACUAGAACGGGUCUGACGGUGAGGGACGAAGCCCGUGGGGCG